UACGUAGGUGGCAAGCGUUGUCCGGAUUUACUGGGCGUAAAGGGCGUGCAGGCGGUUUGUUAAGUUCAGGGUGAAAGCUCCCGGCUCAACUGGGAGAGGUCCUUGGAUACUGGCAGACUUGAGGAGGGUAGAGGAGAGUGGAAUUCCUGGUGUAGCGGUGAAAUGCGCAGAUAUCAGGAAGAACACCCGUGGCUAAGGCGGUUCUCUAGUACGGUACUGACGCUGAGACGCGAAAGCGUGGGGAGCGAACAGG
This 253-nucleotide ribosomal RNA is filed under the name uncultured bacterium. RNAcentral's name for it is "partial 16S ribosomal RNA". It matches the Rfam family "Bacterial small subunit ribosomal RNA", at positions 524 to 776 of the family's 1533-position model. The record is from RNAcentral.